GUAGGGAAUCUUCGGCAAUGGACGAAAGUCUGACCGAGCAACGCCGCGUGAGUGAAGAAGGUUUUCGGAUCGUAAAACUCUGUUGUUAGAGAAGAACGUUAAGUAGAGUGGAAAAUUACUUAAGUGACGGUAUCUAACCAGAAAGGGACGGCUAACUACGUGCCAGCAGCCGCGGUAAUACGUAGGUCCCAAGCGUUGUCCGGAUUUAUUGGGCGUAAAGCGAGCGCAGGUGGUUUCUUAAGUCUGGUGUAAAAGGCAGUGGCUCAACCAUUGUAUGCAGUGGAAACUGGUAGACUUGAGUGCAGGAGAGGAGAGUGGAAUUCCAUGUGUAGCGGUGAAAUGCGUAGAUAUAUGGAGGAACACCGGCGGCGAAAGCGGCUCUCUGGCCUGUAACUGACACUGAGGCUCGAAAGCGUGGGGAGCAAACAGGAUUAGAAACCCUUGUAGUCC
This 450-nucleotide ribosomal RNA is filed under the name uncultured bacterium. RNAcentral's name for it is "partial 16S ribosomal RNA". It matches the Rfam family "Bacterial small subunit ribosomal RNA", at positions 354 to 796 of the family's 1533-position model. The record is from RNAcentral.